AGAGUUUGAUCAUGGCUCAGGAUGAACGCUAGCGGCAGGCCUAAUACAUGCAAGUCGAGGGGUAAGGCCCAUUUCGGUGGGUACACGACCGGCGCACGGGUGCGUAACGCGUAUGCAACCUACCUUUAACAGGGGGAUAGCCCCGAGAAAUCGGGAUUAACACCCCAUAAAAUUAUUUUACUGCAUGGUAGAAUAAUUAAAACUCCGGUGGUUAAAGAUGGGCAUGCGUGACAUUAGCUUGUUGGUGAGGUAACGGCUCACCAAGGCGACGAUGUCUAGGGGUUCUGAGAGGAUGAUCCCCCACACUGGUACUGAGACACGGACCAGACUCCUACGGGAGGCAGCAGUAAGGAAUAUUGCGCAAUGGAGGCAACUCUGACGCAGCCAUGCCGCGUGCAGGAAGACGGCCUUAUGGGUUGUAAACUGCUUUUAUAAGGGAAUAAACUCUCGUUUGGGAACGGGACUGAAGGUACCUUAUGAAUAAGCACCGGCUAACUCCGUGCCAGCAGCCGCGGUAAUACGGAGGGUGCGAGCGUUAUCCGGAUUUAUUGGGUUUAAAGGGUGCGCAGGCGGGAUAUUAAGUCAGUGGUGAAAUCUUCCGGCUCAACCGGGAAACUGCCAUUGAUACUGGUAUUCUUGAGUUUGGUUGAAGUGGGCGGAAUGUAGCACGUAGCGGUGAAAUGCAUAGAGAUGCUACAGAACACCGAUUGCGAAGGCAGCUCACUAAGCCAAUACUGACGCUCAUGCACGAAAGCGUGGGGGAGCGAACAGGAUUAGAUACCCUGGUAGUCCACGCUGUAAACGAUGAUAACUCGUUGUUGGCGAUACACAGUCAGCGGCCAAGCGAAAGCGAUAAGUUAUCCACCUGGGGAGUACGAUCGCAAGGUUGAAACUCAAAGGAAUUGACGGGGGCCCGCACAAGCGGUGGAGCAUGUGGUUUAAUUCGAUGAUACGCGAGGAACCUUACCUGGGCUCAAAUGCAGGAUGACAGGUCCUGAAAGGGAUUUUUCUUCGGACAUUCUGCAAGGUGCUGCAUGGUUGUCGUCAGCUCGUGCCGUGAGGUGUCGGGUUAAGUCCCAUAACGAGCGCAACCCUUACUCUUAGUUACCAGCACGUAAAGGUGGGGACUCUAAGGGAACUGCCUACGCAAGUAGAGAGGAAGGUGGGGAUGACGUCAAAUCAGCACGGCCCUUACGUCCAGGGCUACACACGUGCUACAAUGGCCGGUACAGAGGGCAGCCACCCUGUGAGGGGGAGCGAAUCUCGAAAGCCGGUCUCAGUUCGGAUCGAAGUCUGCAACUCGACUUCGUGAAGCUGGAAUCGCUAGUAAUCGCGCAUCAGCCAUGGCGCGGUGAAUACGUUCCCGGGCCUUGUACACACCGCCCGUCAAGCCAUGGAAGCUGGGGGCGCCUGAAGUCGGUAACCGAUAAGGAACUGCCUAGGGCGAAACUAGUGACUGGGGCUAAGUCGUAACAAGGUA
This 1480-nucleotide ribosomal RNA is filed under the name uncultured bacterium. Its description in RNAcentral is "bacterial SSU rRNA". It matches the Rfam family "Bacterial small subunit ribosomal RNA". The record is from RNAcentral.